UGGCUCAGAACGAACGCUGGCGGCAGGCUUAACACAUGCAAGUCGAGCGGGCGUAGCAAUACGUCAGCGGCAGACGGGUGAGUAACGCGUGGGAACGUACCUUUUGGUUCGGAACAACCCAGGGAAACUUGGGCUAAUACCGGAUAAGCCCUUACGGGGAAAGAUUUAUCGCCGAAAGAUCGGCCCGCGUCUGAUUAGCUAGUUGGUGAGGUAACGGCUCACCAAGGCAACGAUCAGUAGCUGGUCUGAGAGGAUGAUCAGCCACAUUGUUACUGAGACACNAGCAUGACUCCUACGGGAGUAGNUAGUGGGG
RNAcentral lists this ribosomal RNA (313 nucleotides) under uncultured Bradyrhizobiaceae bacterium. RNAcentral's name for it is "bacterial SSU rRNA". It matches the Rfam family "Bacterial small subunit ribosomal RNA", at positions 20 to 359 of the family's 1533-position model. The record is from RNAcentral. Lineage: Bacteria; Pseudomonadati; Pseudomonadota; Alphaproteobacteria; Hyphomicrobiales; Nitrobacteraceae.